GGCAGUUCUUGGGUGACACACCCCAGAACCAGAGCGGAGGGAGCCUGAUUCUGGGGUGCAUUACCCGAGAACCACC
Myotis davidii is the source of this 76-nucleotide non-coding RNA. Lineage: Eukaryota; Metazoa; Chordata; Mammalia; Chiroptera; Vespertilionidae. The record is from Rfam.